This is a long non-coding RNA of Homo sapiens (human), 388 nucleotides long. Ensembl annotates it as cytochrome P450 family 2 subfamily B member 7, pseudogene. Its record names the gene CYP2B7P. Lineage: Eukaryota; Metazoa; Chordata; Mammalia; Primates; Hominidae. The record is from Ensembl.
GGGGUGCAGGGCAGUCAGACUGGAACCAUGGAGCUCAGCGUCCUCCUCUUCCUUGCACUCCUCACAGGCCUCUUGCUACUCCUGGUUCAGCGUCACCCUAACUCCCAUGGCACCCUCCCACCAGGGCCCCGCCCUCUGCCCCUUUUGGGGAACCUUCUGCAGAUGGACAGAAGAGGCCUACUCAAAUCCUUUCUGAGGGAGUGGAUCUGAUUGCCGUCAAUCAAUAAUACCUUUGACCAAGGGACUCCAAUCAAUUCAGCAUGCUUUGCCUAAUGCCUUUUGUUUGUAAUACUGUUGCGGGACAAUCAAAGACUGGAGAGACCAAAAAAGGUUCAGGAGAGUUUAUUAAAUUAAGGUGACCACUGGCUCAGCCAGAAAUAUGUCCAGA